RNAcentral lists this ribosomal RNA (253 nucleotides) under uncultured bacterium. RNAcentral's name for it is "partial 16S ribosomal RNA". It matches the Rfam family "Bacterial small subunit ribosomal RNA", at positions 524 to 776 of the family's 1533-position model. The record is from RNAcentral.
UACAGAGGGUGCAAGCGUUAAUCGGAGUUACUGGGCGUAAAGGGCGCGUAGGCGGUAAGAUGUGAGUGAUGUGAAAGCCCCGGGCUUAACCUGGGAAGAGCAUCGUUAACUAUUUAACUAGAGUAUAAGAGAGGGUGGCGGAAUUUCCGGUGUAGCGGUGAAAUGCGUAGAGAUCGGAAGGAACGUCAAUGGCGAAGGCAGCCACCUGGCUUAAUACUGACGCUGAGGCGCGAAAGCGUGGGGAGCGAACAGG